This 534-nucleotide long non-coding RNA is filed under the name Musa acuminata (dwarf banana). Its description in RNAcentral is "long non-coding RNA (MACU_LNC005246)". The record is from RNAcentral. Lineage: Eukaryota; Viridiplantae; Streptophyta; Magnoliopsida; Zingiberales; Musaceae.
ACUCACCCUCCGAUGCAGCAGCCGCACCGACAGCAUUGGCGACGAGGGGCUUGCCCUCGUCGCGGCGCGCUGUCCCAAUCUUGCCAGCCUCAAGCUCCGCGCCUGCGGCGCCCUCACCGAUGCCGGCAUGGCCGCUGUCGCCCGUUACUGCUCGGGCCUGCGCAAGCUAUCCGUCGGCUCCUGCGCCUUUGGCGCCAAGGGUGUUGACGCCGUCCUCCGCGGGUGCCCCCUCCUGGAAGAGCUCUCCAUCAAGCGCCUCCGCGGCCUCCACGACCCGUCCGCCACCGCCGAACUCGUUGCCGGCGCCGCCUCCCUCCGCUCCGUCUGCCUCAAGGGUCUCUACAAUGCGCAGUGCUUCGCACCGCUCAUCGCCGGGUGCCCCAACCUCAAGACGCUCAAGCUCAUCCGCUGCUCCGGCGACUGGGAUCCCCUCCUGAAGAACAUGGCCGCUAGGGUCCCCGGGGUUGUCGAAAUACACCUCGAGAGGCUGCAGGUGACCGACAGCGGCCUCGCCGCCCUGUCCGUCUGCGUCGA